RNAcentral lists this long non-coding RNA (231 nucleotides) under Helianthus annuus (common sunflower). RNAcentral's name for it is "sRNA HanXRQr2_Chr09g0372231". Lineage: Eukaryota; Viridiplantae; Streptophyta; Magnoliopsida; Asterales; Asteraceae. The record is from RNAcentral.
UUUCCGUAUAGACAAACAGGUAUUGGCCUCGGAUAGAAGUUCUUUACCUGCUUAUCUCAUUGAAGCGUUAAUCUGUACACACGACUGGAUUCGAAGCUCGAGGAAGGAUGUUAUCAACGAAGAUUUAGCUACUUCUAUUCUGGAUGAUUUUUGAGAAGAUGUUUCUGAACAACGUGGAUGCGGAUCAAGGUUUGUUUCAUCAGUGAUGAUGAUAUUUUGUGUUGAAUGUUU